AAGUCGUAACAAGGUUUCCGUAGGUGAACCUGCGGAAGGAUCAUUAACAAAUUGAUGAUGUGCUUGGGUUCUGAGAAACAUAUAACAUAUGUGCAGAACCCGCUUGGUGCCGCAAGGGUACCCAGUGAUACUGAGUUUUGCGACUCAGAGUAGCUGGGUAUACUUGUGUAUACCUGUGUCACUAGGGAUUAAUUUCCCUAGAGAUACGUAACAAACAAGUAACCUGGGGUACUUUAAGGUGAAGUGCUUUACUGUGCUUUAUCUUAGAGCCCUUCUAAUAAUCCCUAUUUUUACCAUUUUACCCCUUUAUAAACUAUAAGACUGAUAUGACAUGAUAAAUGUCAAAUACUAAAAACUAUAAAACAACUCUUAACAAUGGAUAUCUAGGCUCUG
Molecule: unclassified non-coding RNA, 393 nt
Filed under: fungal sp.
Lineage: Eukaryota; Fungi
Description: partial internal transcribed spacer region
Rfam family: Eukaryotic small subunit ribosomal RNA (bases 1-46)
Source: RNAcentral